AGAGAGCAAAACAAAACAGAGAAGGGAGAAAGAAAGAAACAGAGAGCAAAACGAAACAGAGAAGGAAGGAAGGAAAGAAAGAAAGAAAAGAAAAGAGAAAUUUGGGGUUUUAAGGUUCAGAGUUAAUUUGCUAAUGUCGUGUACGAGUCAUUGUCCGAGAAAGGAAAGGAGAAGGUGGACAAGGAUUGACUCGGGAGAAAUUUCGCUAAUGUCGUGUACGAGUCAUUGUCCGAGAAAGGAAAGGAGAAGGUGGACAAGGAUUGACUCGGGAGAAAUUUCGUAUUUCCAAUCCAAACGUUUGCAAGUUGGGAGGCAGUCACUUACCUUGAUCACUUAUAAGUACGACAACUACCAAUUACUUUGAUAUACAUUUUGGCUAUCUUUGGCACAUAAUGUCUUAACUAGUCAGUUGCCCACAUUAACAUUCAAAUAGGUUAGUCAUAUUUGCACAUCAUGAGUAACAUUUAAUCUCAAAGUAAUUUCAUGUCACAUGACAAGUUAUAAACAUAUACGAAUUCAUAUUCGAUACAUUUUCAAGCCUUUCUAUUUCAAUUAUGAUAAAUAUCUCCUGAUGGACCUAUAGUAAAAUGGACUUGGAUACAUGAGUGAACUAUGUUGCUCACACAAGCUGAAAUUACAUCAGGGUUGCUCACACAAGAUGAAUUUACAGUAGGUUACCCGUCUGGGCUAAACCUAUGUUACAUAUAACCUGAGAAUCUACAACAGAUGCUAGACCUUGUUAUAACUUGAAAAAUCAUUGAUUAAACGCACGUAUAACCUAUAAUAGCUUGAUUUUCAGUGGUGUCAAA
Gossypium raimondii (Peruvian cotton) is the source of this 809-nucleotide long non-coding RNA. RefSeq lists it as uncharacterized. The transcript is spliced from 4 exons. NCBI's taxonomy places the organism in Eukaryota, Viridiplantae, Streptophyta, Magnoliopsida, Malvales, Malvaceae. The record is from RefSeq and is a predicted model, not a curated record.